GCCCUGGUGGCGGAAUUGGUAGACGCGCACGGUUCAGGUCCGUGUGUUUAACGACGUGGAGGUUCGAGUCCUCUCCAGGGCACCA
This 85-nucleotide transfer RNA is filed under the name Devosia sp. Its description in RNAcentral is "tRNA-Leu". It matches the Rfam family "tRNA". Rfam says of the family: Transfer RNA (tRNA) molecules are approximately 80 nucleotides in length. Their secondary structure includes four short double-helical elements and three loops (D, anti-codon, and T loops). RNAcentral also lists the same sequence under 7 other names. Lineage: Bacteria; Pseudomonadati; Pseudomonadota; Alphaproteobacteria; Hyphomicrobiales; Devosiaceae. The record is from RNAcentral.